Long non-coding RNA from Malurus melanocephalus (red-backed fairy wren), 1866 nucleotides. RefSeq lists it as uncharacterized. The record is from RefSeq and is a predicted model, not a curated record. Lineage: Eukaryota; Metazoa; Chordata; Aves; Passeriformes; Maluridae. The transcript is spliced from 5 exons.
UUCUUAGAGAGUAGAGCUCUUUGGAUUCUCUUUCUCUGCUGGUCUGCCCCGUGAGAUGGUGUAGAACUGUAAACCAGCCAGGCUUUAAUGAAUGAAUUUGGAAACUACCAAAGGAUUCCUAUGGAAAUACAGAUGACAUCUGCAUUAAGGCCAUAAUUAAUUAACCAAUCAAUUAUCAUGAUGAAUGCUAUUUUAAUGAAUCAGUUGAAAAUCACUUCUGGUUCUUAUGGUUUUCAUUCAGAGCACAUUAAUCACGGCAGGCUCUCUGGAAUGCAGGGUGGAAGUCCAAGACCUGAGUACAUCUCUAACAGAGGUGAGCCAGGUUCUCAGCAAUCAGAUCCAGAUGCAGSUAUGGAAAGCUCUCAUGAAGGUCAGAGGAUCUGCAAAUCUGGGRAAAUAGUGCUGGCAUCUUAUGGCCAUGGGCCCAGAGCAUGAAAGAAGCAGAUAUGAAAUGGUCCAGGACUGGGAUGGGUUUUCAGACACUUCCCAAUUUGGACUUGGCUGCUAAUUCCACUUAUACUUGGAAGAAGAGUCAGCUUUGACCUGGCCUGGUGCCCACCCCCAAUAUUCCAGAUGUGACCAUGGAAAGCCCACAGGGAAAGCAACCCUAGGGAAGAAGGCCUUGCUGGAUGGGUGCCUAAAAACAAACAAAAACCAAAGCAAGGUGAAUUUGUGGACUCCCCCCCUGCAAGAUGCUAUGAGGACACGCUGUGGAGUUGGAUGUCUGAAACAGAUCAAGAAGAUUUUCUAAACGUCAGUACACAAGAUGUCACAUUUAGCAGGGAAUUGUCAAAUGCUUGAAAACUGGAAUCACAGGAGCACUAUUUGAUGCUAAGUGGUAUCUGCACCAUAUCUGAAGCUGGAASAUGCCAGGAAAACAUCCUUCACAUUCUGCACUGAUAUUUCCAAGCUUUCAGGACCAAUCAUGGGUUGGCUGGGCAUGAAGGUGUUACCAUGAUGUAAAACCAGGUCGUGGUGAGGUUCCCCUUMACAUCUGGGGAUGUAUUUUGUGACUUGAAAACCCACAGAGCCCAUAUAACUGCAGAAGAACAAGCACAAGCCUUGCUCUCCUACUUCAUACACUGUCAGCCAAACGAGCAAGCCAGCUUUGAGUCCUCCAGGGUCAUUUUAUUUUUAGGGMUGUUGCCUCAAGCAGGAAGAAAACAGCUUGAUCUGUAGGCUCUGCUUUGAGCCUCCAGUGCUGGCAGCAAAAAGCAAGUUCUUUUGACGUGCAGGCUGAGUUGAACCCGUGGAACAAUCUGCAUGGGCCAGGGAGUCGCCGUGUUUUGAGUGCUGCUGUUCCGAGGCACAGCACAUCCCCUUGUCUGUCACAGAGCUGAUUUAUUUUUGAUCUCCUCAGCCUCCAGUUGACGUUCCAGCUGUUUUUCUGUCUCUGUUUAAUAGCUGCUUUCUCAGGUUUUUCAUUUUUCCUUGUUUGUCUGAAAUCCAUCUUGGAGACACUUGUUGCCCCAUUCUCUGAUCUGUUUUGAGYCUCUGCCAGCUGCUGCUUUUGCUGCCAGUGGAUAAAACGACUGAGUCACCACUUUGUGAAUUUUGCCUUUGCUUGUGGGGUGGCAGAGCCAAGGCCAUCAUGAACAUAUCAAGGAACCACAACAAAGGCCCAAAACACAAACAYUGGGACUGAACCUCAAAGCUUGUGCUGGAACCCGAGGAGGUGACAGCCAGCAAGAAUCAUACCGAGGGACCUCAAAGCCUUACCAACCUCAGUCCUGCAGGAACCACAUCAGAGGCAUGCACCUCAUGCAGCUCUGGAUCCAGGGAGAGGGUGUAAGAGAAAGAUAGAAGUGACCAAAGGACUGUUUUAUUGUUUUCCUCUUUUCAUAAUGCAUUUAACACAGAAGAUGU